GUUUUGUUUCUUUUUUUUUGCCAGCAGUGGGGCCUUACAUUCAUCUAUUGAAGAGGUUGAAUCCUUGCCAUGUUAUAGGGCACCCCCAGGUGCUGUUCAGCUGACCCAGCAACCCUGUAUUUCCUGGGACCAGCUCUUUAGAUAGAGAAGCUUCAGUAAUGCCAGGUCCGAUUGCUUGGGAAGACUUCCACACGAGUCAGGAAAGCGACACGCUGCAAACUGGUCCACAGCAAAGCAGACGACUGUUGUGGGGGCACAGGCAGCCCCUCCAGAAGCCCGC
RNAcentral lists this long non-coding RNA (280 nucleotides) under Equus caballus (horse). Its description in RNAcentral is "lncRNA (ENSECAG00000047061.1)". The record is from RNAcentral. Lineage: Eukaryota; Metazoa; Chordata; Mammalia; Perissodactyla; Equidae.